Molecule: long non-coding RNA, 344 nt
Organism: Cavia porcellus (domestic guinea pig)
Lineage: Eukaryota; Metazoa; Chordata; Mammalia; Rodentia; Caviidae
Exons: 3
Source: RefSeq, a predicted model, not a curated record
CCGGGAAGCAGAGUACAGGGAGGAAUGAGACGGAAGCCCCUUCUAGGUUGCACCUCAGUGACUCACUUGUAACCAGACCCCAACACACUCAGCUGUUGAAGUCAUGAGUGGGUGAUUCCAUUGGGUCUCCCUAGCCUGCCGAAUCUGGCCUUGAACUCAUGAUAUUUCUGCCUCAGCCUCCAAACAAGUUGGAAUUGCAGACAAAGAUGAAGAGAAUUUAACACUGUGAUGCCUGAAAUAGAAAGAACUGUUAAUGGAGAGGAAGUGAACUCAGAUGGGAAAAAGGUAAUGCGGGAAGGAGUGAAGAACUGUGGAUAAACUGUGGAUGAAUAUGCAUUAAAGUG